RNAcentral lists this ribosomal RNA (253 nucleotides) under uncultured bacterium. RNAcentral's name for it is "partial 16S ribosomal RNA". It matches the Rfam family "Bacterial small subunit ribosomal RNA", at positions 524 to 776 of the family's 1533-position model. The record is from RNAcentral.
CACGUAGGGCGCAAGCGUUGUCCGGAAUUAUUGGGCGUAAAGAGCUCGUAGGUGGUUUGUUACGUCUGCUGUGAAAUCCUAGGGCUUAACCCUGGGCUUGCAAUGGAUACGGGCAGACUAGAGUGCGGUAGGGGAGAUCGGAAUUCCUGGUGUAGCGGUGAAAUGCGCAGAUAUCAGGAGGAACACCGGUGGCGAAGGCGGAUCUCUGGGCCAUUACUGACGCUGAGGAGCGAAAGCGUGGGGAGCGAACAGG